Molecule: small nuclear RNA, 107 nt
Organism: Arvicanthis niloticus (Nile rat)
Lineage: Eukaryota; Metazoa; Chordata; Mammalia; Rodentia; Muridae
Source: RefSeq, a predicted model, not a curated record
CUGCUCGCUUCAGCAGCACAUACACUAAGAUUGGAACGAUACAGAGAAGAUUAGCAUGGCCCCUGCACAAGGAUGACACACAAAUUAGUGAAUCCGUCCAUAUUUUU